AGAGUUUGAUCAUGGCUCAGGAUGAACGCUGGCGGCAUGCCUAAGACAUGCAAGUCGAACGAGAUGGCCCAGUGAAGGUUGAGUGCUUGCACAAGACUGAAUCUGGAUUCCCAUCUAGUGGCAGACGGGUGAGUAACACGUGGGUGACCUACCUUUUCGUUGGGGGUAACAGUUGGAAACGAUUGCUAAUACCGAAUAAAAUGUAAGAGUCAAUUUUACAUUGAAAGGAGCCUUUAAAAGCUUCGCGA
RNAcentral lists this ribosomal RNA (248 nucleotides) under uncultured bacterium. Its description in RNAcentral is "partial 16S ribosomal RNA". It matches the Rfam family "Bacterial small subunit ribosomal RNA", at positions 8 to 220 of the family's 1533-position model. The record is from RNAcentral.